AACGAACGCUGGCGGCAUGCCUAACACAUGCAAGUCGAACGCGACCUGCUGGUCUUGUUACCCACGGGUUCGUAACGCGUCGGAACCGUCCCUUAUGGUCGGAAUAACUUCCCGCAGGGGGUGCUAUUACCGGAUGAUUGCUACUAACCAAUGAUUUAUUGCCUCUGGAUGGGCCCGCGUUGGAUUAGCUAUUUGGUAGCUUAAAAGCCUACCAAGGCUAAGAUCCAUAGCUGGUCUGAGAGGAUGAUCAGACACACUGGGACUGUGACACGGCCCAGACUCCUACGGGAAGAAGCAGUGGGGAAUAUUGGACGAUGGGCGAGAGCAUGAUGCAGCCAGGCCGCGUGAGUGAUGAAGGACUGAGGGUUGUAAAGCUCUUUUAACCGGGAUGAUAAUGACAGUACCGGGAGAAUAAGCUCCGGCUAACUCCGUG
RNAcentral lists this ribosomal RNA (433 nucleotides) under uncultured bacterium. Its description in RNAcentral is "partial 16S ribosomal RNA". It matches the Rfam family "Bacterial small subunit ribosomal RNA", at positions 29 to 507 of the family's 1533-position model. The record is from RNAcentral.